Molecule: ribosomal RNA, 436 nt
Filed under: uncultured bacterium
Lineage: Bacteria
Description: bacterial SSU rRNA
Rfam family: Bacterial small subunit ribosomal RNA
Source: RNAcentral
AACGCGAAGAACCUUACCCGGGCUCGAACGGUGCAGUAAUAUGGUAGAGAUAUCAUAGCUAGCAAUAGACUGUAUCGAGGUGCUGCAUGGUUGUCGUCAGCUCGUGCCGUGAGGUGUCGGCUUAAGUGCCAUAACGAGCGCAACCCUUGNUCGUUAGUUACCAUCAAAUAAAGUUGGGGACUCUAGCGAGACUGCCACCGNUAAGGUGUGAGGAAGGGGGGGAUGACGUCAAAUCAGCACGGCCCUUACGUCCGGGGCGACACACGUGUUACAAUGGUAGGUACAGAGGGCCGCUACCCAGUGAUGGGGUGCCAAUCUCAAAAACCUAUCUCAGUUCGGAUCGGAGUCUGCAACUCGACUCCGUGAAGUUGGAUUCGCUAGUAAUCGCGCAUCAGCCAUGGCGCGGUGAAUACGUUCCCGGGUCUUGUACACACCG